UGGGGAAUAUUGCACAAUGGGCGCAAGCCUGAUGCAGCCAUGCCGCGUGUGUGAAGAAGGCCUUCGGGUUGUAAAGCACUUUCAGCGGGGAGGAAGGCGAUAAGGUUAAUAACCUCAUCGAUUGACGUUACCCGCAGAAGAAGCACCGGCUAACUCCGUGCCAGCAGCCGCGGUAAUACGGAGGGUGCAAGCGUUAAUCGGAAUUACUGGGCGUAAAGCGCACGCAGGCGGUCUGUCAAGUCGGAAGUGAAAUCCCCGGGAUCAACCUGGGAACUGCAUUCGAAACUGGCAGGCUAGAGUCAUGUAGAGGGGGGUAGAAUUCCAGGUGUAGCGGUGAAAUGCGUAGAGAUCUGGGGGAAUACCGGUGGCGAAGGCGGCCCCCUGGACAAAGACUGACGCUCAGGUGCGAAAGCGUGGGGAGCAAACAGG
This 429-nucleotide ribosomal RNA is filed under the name Chloroflexota bacterium. Its description in RNAcentral is "Chloroflexi bacterium partial 16S ribosomal RNA". It matches the Rfam family "Bacterial small subunit ribosomal RNA", at positions 355 to 776 of the family's 1533-position model. The record is from RNAcentral. Lineage: Bacteria; Bacillati; Chloroflexota.